UGCAAGUCGCACGAGAAAGCCGCAAGGUGAGUAAAGUGGCAGACGGGUGAGUAACACGUGGAUCAUCUACCCUUUGGCGGGGAAUAACCCUGGGAAACCGGGGCUAAUACCGCAUAAGUCCGAGAGGAGAAAGCCGAAAGGCACCGAAGGAAGAGUCCGCGGCCGAUUAGCUAGUUGGCGGGGUAAUGGCCCACCAAGGCGAAGAUCGGUAGCCGGCCUGAGAGGGCACACGGCCACACUGGCACUGAGAUACGGGCCAGACUCCUACGGGAGGCAGCAGUGGGGAAUCUUGCACAAUGGGGGAAACCCUGAUGCAGCGACGCCGCGUGAGUGAUGAAGUCCUUCGGGAUGUAAAGCUCUUUCGACAGGAACGAUAAUGACGGUACCUGGAGAAGAAGCUGCGGCUAACUACGUGCCAGGAGCCGCGGUAAUACGUAGGCAGCAAGCGUUGUUCGGAAUUAUUGGGCGUAAAGAGUAUGUAGGCGGUUCACUAAGUCUGAUGUGAAAUCUCCUGGCUUAACUGGGAGGGUGCGUCGGAUACUGGUGGGCUUGAGUACGGGAGAGGGAAGCGGAAUUCCUGGUGUAGCGGUGAAAUGCGUAGAUAUCAGGAGGAACACCGGUGGUGUAGACGGCUUCCUGGACCGUAACUGACGCUGAGAUACGAAAGCGUGGGUAGCAAACAGGAUUAGAUACCCUGGUA
Molecule: ribosomal RNA, 700 nt
Filed under: uncultured bacterium
Lineage: Bacteria
Description: bacterial SSU rRNA
Rfam family: Bacterial small subunit ribosomal RNA
Source: RNAcentral